RNAcentral lists this transfer RNA (64 nucleotides) under Cavia porcellus (domestic guinea pig). It matches the Rfam family "tRNA". Rfam says of the family: Transfer RNA (tRNA) molecules are approximately 80 nucleotides in length. Their secondary structure includes four short double-helical elements and three loops (D, anti-codon, and T loops). Lineage: Eukaryota; Metazoa; Chordata; Mammalia; Rodentia; Caviidae. The record is from Rfam by way of RNAcentral.
GGGGAUUUAGCUCAGCGGCACAAGCGCCUGCCUUGUAAGCAGGCGGUCGUGAGUUCAAUCCCCG